CAGCCGCCACGGUAAUACGAAGGGUGCAAGCGUUACUCGGAAUUACUGGGCGUAAAGCGUGCGUAGGCGGUGAGUUAAGUCUGCUGUGAAAUCCCCGGGCUCAACCUGGGAAUGGCAGUGGAUACUGGCUCGCUAGAGUGUGUCAGAGGAUGGUGGAAUUCCCGGUGUAGCGGUGAAAUGCGUAGAGAUCGGGAGGAACAUCAGUGGCGAAGGCGGCCAUCUGGGACAACACUGACGCUGAGGCACGAAAGCGUGGGGAGCAAACAGGAUUAGAUACCCCGGUAGUCCUUGUCUCUUAUAC
RNAcentral lists this ribosomal RNA (301 nucleotides) under uncultured bacterium. RNAcentral's name for it is "partial 16S ribosomal RNA". It matches the Rfam family "Bacterial small subunit ribosomal RNA", at positions 509 to 807 of the family's 1533-position model. The record is from RNAcentral.